UCUGUGGCACUCUGUCUCUGUGGUACUCUCUCCAUGGCACUCUCUCCAUUGCACUCCGUCUCCGUAACACUCUGUCUCUGUGGCACUGUCUCUGUAGUACUCUGUCUCUGUGGCACUCUAUCUCUGUUGUACUCUCUCUCCGUGGCACUCUGUCUCUGUGGCACUCAGUCUCCGUGGCACUCCGUCUCCGUGGCACUCCGUCUCUGUGGCACUCUGUCUCUGUGGCACUCUUUCCGUGGCACUCCGUCUCCGUGGCACUCUGUCUCUGAGUGCAGCUCCUUUCCCCUACUUUCUCCACGUGGCUCUCCUCUCUCCACUUUGCCCUUCGAACUUUAGCCAUGUGGAAUAGCAAAUUCAUCUUCAGACUAUUGCAGGUUGCCUGCCUGUGCAUGCAGAAUGUCUGUGCAGACCACCGCAGUUUACCUGUACAGGAAAACACCCCCCCCUCUCUUUCCUUCUCCCUCUCUCUCCCUCUUUGCAUUCCCAGAACCCUCCUUCUUUACCUGGCCCACCAAGCAGCCUUCACUCUAGACCCUGACUCCAAUGUCCGUGUCUUUCUUCCUCUUUCUUCAGCUGGCUCCACUGCCUCUGUGGUGAAAGGGCUCUGCCUGCCUUUGGGAGGCAUUGUGAACUUGGAAUUAAGCCCAGACUCCCUAAUGGGCCACCUGAGAUCAUCUGUGGGCUCAUGGUGGGUGGCUUGGCCUUUGUCUCCUAAACCCCGUUUCUGUGACCGGCUAAGACUCCCUCUUCUCAGCAUUCACGAGUCCCUCCCAUCCCUACGGCUCUGCACAUGCCCACAGCUGUAUCCAGGCUUGGUCCCUUCCCAGAGCACCGUGUAUUCUUACUCUGGGGUCACCAUGGUGAGGACCUCAGGCUGGAACUUAUGCUCUCACAGUCUGAGGGCUGGAGGGCUGGGAGCAGGGUACCAGAGGGCUGGUUCCUUGGGCAGACAGGAAGAGGGCAUCUUGCCUUCUCUCUCCCAGCCUUUGGCAUCUCUUGGCUUCUAUCUCUUCUCAUGUUCUCCCCAUGUGCGUCUGUGUCCAGACUCCCCUAUUGACCAGGAGGCCGGCUGUACUGGAUUGAGGCCCCGGUGUUCUGGUAUGACCCCAUCUUAACUGACUACAUCUUCAACAGCCCUGUUUCCAAAUAAGGCCACAUUCUGAGCACUGCCAGCUAGGACUACAAAACAGAAUUUCUGGAAAUACGAUUUAAUCCACAAAAGUCCUGCUCUUGUGUUGGGGCGAUGUUUAAGAGAAACACAGACUGAAGUGCCGCGGUGCCUGUCACUUUAAGAAGGUGCCGAGAAAGCGCCAGAAUAAACCAGCAUCCCCAAACUUACUGGAUUGGCAUCUCUUGUCCCAUUUACAAGUCACCAGUGAGAUUCCUGGGGACACAUCAGAAGACAGACGUAUUUACAAAGUGACGAACAUUCGUGAACAUCGUAAUGGGUAGAAGUUUGAGCAAGAGGUCAGAGCAGAGAGCAGAGAACUGCUCCUAGAGACAGUUGCCAUGGGGUCAGAUGACCCCAAGUAAGGAGAAGACACACCCCCUUCCCCUCGUGGGUACCCACACUUUAAAACUUCCCAGCUCCAUCUUGCCUUCUAAGCUCUCUCCAUAUCUUUCCUAAAAAUCUGCCCCUGGCACUUCCCACACCCCUUCACCUCCCCCCUCCACGCCCUCCCACGGAGCUGUGCCUCUGUCUUGCCUUCGCUUCCCACCCAAGCCAGACACCUCCAGGGCCCUCUUGUUUCUGUUCCACACAGGUCAGGUCUCAGCAGUGUUCUGCACAUUGCCCCGUGGUACUCAUACCUCCUCAGGCAAAUCCAGUGGCCGCUCCUCUCAGAGCCUCUCUGUAAAGAUCCUGAGGAGGGCAUCCCAUUUCAAGAAAGUAGGGGUUGAAGUAAACACAUACACAUUUAAUUUCCCAUGCUCGGUAAAACCAAGAGAUCAUAGCUCUCUACUCUACAGUGUGCUUUUUAAGCAGCCAUGGGGGGCUUGUUGACCUCCAAAUGCCACCAUCUCAGUGGGGUUUAGCCUGGGAAAGCCACCACAGAGAAGAGCGGCUCUGUGGCAGGCCCACUUCUCACCACUGAGGACAGCGGCUGUGUGGCAGGCCUGAAUCUCGUGUGGUGUUCCCUUGCAGUAAUGGAAGCUUAUAUGGGAGAGUGUAAGACAGCAGUAACUAGCUUUCUGUCUCUCUCCAUACAGCUGAUCCCUAUGUGGUUACCAAUGAUUCAGUCCAAUACCAAGUACUUAUCCGCCGGCCUCCAGCUUCGUCUCCAGGCCAUUCAGAACAACGUGAACCACCACAGCCUAAGGACGCUGCCCGGCUCGGGCCAGAGCAGUGCUGGCCUAGCAGCCCUCCGGAAAUGGCUGCAGUGCACCCAGUUCAAAAUGGCCCAGGUGGAGAUCCAGUCCUCAGAAGCAGCUUCUCAAUUUUAUCCUCUAUGAGUGGACUCCUCGGCUCCAGUGUCGACACGCUGGCUUAGCAAUAAUGGGUAUAAAACAAACAAUUUGAUCCAAGCAGGUUGGGGAACCUUGGUACUGUACACUCUUUCUAGUUUAGUAUACAGACGUGCAAAGGCCGGAGAGGGCCACCAACGAAGCUUUCUUGCUACACAUAUUUCUGAUGACUCCUUGGGCUAUCUGAUUAAGUGUUUCCUUACAUUAUUUUUUAAGAAAAAAAAAAAAAACAACAAAACCAAAAUCAUUUUUCUUUAUCUAACUUCUAUUUUUUUUAAGAAAAAAAAAAUAGACUGGUGGGUACUCACAGAAAAGUUGUAUAAAGCCCCCCUGUUGCUAUUUUUGAUGAUAGAGAAUAAAUAGGGUUUUUGAAA
RNAcentral lists this small RNA (2837 nucleotides) under Rattus norvegicus (Norway rat). RNAcentral's name for it is "lncRNA". Lineage: Eukaryota; Metazoa; Chordata; Mammalia; Rodentia; Muridae. The record is from RNAcentral.